UUCACUAUUGCUCUGUGGUUGAAGGAUAUGUUGACUUCUAAGCCCUGGAUUGACCCAAAGGUGAUGUGUAUUCUGAGAGGUCACAAUGGAGGGGUCACAUGCCUUGCUUUCAGUCCUGAUGGGAAAGAGUUGCUGUCAGGAGGAAAAGAUCAGGCUUUGAUGAUAUGGAAGGUAAAUGCUUCUCCUCCAGUUCUUUCCCAGUCCAUUUCCAAUUGCCAUGGAGACUGGAUUACAGGAUGUGCUUGGACAUCAUCUGCUGUGCUCAGCUGCUCCAGUGACUGUAAGCUGCGGAUGUGGGAUAUCCAGACAGGACGUUUGUU
This is a long non-coding RNA of Sinocyclocheilus rhinocerous, 320 nucleotides long. RefSeq lists it as uncharacterized. The record is from RefSeq and is a predicted model, not a curated record. The transcript has 3 exons. Lineage: Eukaryota; Metazoa; Chordata; Actinopteri; Cypriniformes; Cyprinidae.